AUGGCGAGCAGAGGGCGUGAGUACAUGAGUUUGGAUGUGGAUGUUACUUCAGGGAGGAAGUUGGUUACAAUUUUCAUUUGUAUGAUGCAGCAGGCACAAACUAAUUUACAUAAUUUGUUGGUGUUGCGGUCUCUCCCUAUCUUAACAUUGUCUUCCGCUGCAAGGAGAGGAAAUUUGUGUAUAUCACACCUAUCAGCUACAUCCCAUGGAGAGGAAUUUUGUGUCAGGCAUUGUCAUUGGAGAAGCUUUCACAGGCAUGGCCCUUCUUUCAGUCAUAAGAUUUACAGAUAUACUGAUUCUAAAAGAUUUGAUUCACAGGAAAUGGAUUGUAAAUUGCAAGUGAGUUGGGGCUUCUGA
This 357-nucleotide ribosomal RNA is filed under the name Triticum aestivum (bread wheat). RNAcentral describes it as "partial small subunit ribosomal RNA". Lineage: Eukaryota; Viridiplantae; Streptophyta; Magnoliopsida; Poales; Poaceae. The record is from RNAcentral.